This 258-nucleotide ribosomal RNA is filed under the name uncultured bacterium. RNAcentral describes it as "partial 16S ribosomal RNA". It matches the Rfam family "Bacterial small subunit ribosomal RNA", at positions 524 to 781 of the family's 1533-position model. The record is from RNAcentral.
UACGUAGGGUGCGAGCGUUGUCCGGAGUUAUUGGGCGUAAAGAGCUCGUAGGCGGUUUGUUGCGUCGGCUGUGAAAACUUCACGCUUAACGUGGAGCCUGCAGUCGAUACGGGCAGACUUGAGUUCGGCAGGGGAGACUGGAAUUCCUGGUGUAGCGGUGAAAUGCGCAGAUAUCAGGAGGAACACCGGUGGCGAAGGCGGGUCUCUGGGCCGAUACUGACGCUGAGGAGCGAAAGCGUGGGGAGCGAACAGGAUUAG